GUGCCAGCAGCCGCGGUAAUACGAGAGGCCCAAACAUUAUUCGGAAUUACUGGGCUUAAAGAGUUCGUAGGCGGCAUGGUAAGUAGGGUGUGAAAUCCCUCGGCUCAACCGAGGAAUUGCGCUCUAAACUACCGUGCUCGAGGAAGCUAGAGGUGAGCGGAACUGAUGGUGGAGCGGUGAAAUGCGUUGAUAUCAUCAGGAACACCGGAGGCGAAGGCGGCUCACUGGGGCUUUUCUGACGCUGAGGAACGAAAGCCAGGGUAGCGAACGGGAUUAGAAACCCUCGUAGUCC
This 292-nucleotide ribosomal RNA is filed under the name uncultured bacterium. RNAcentral's name for it is "partial 16S ribosomal RNA". It matches the Rfam family "Bacterial small subunit ribosomal RNA", at positions 505 to 796 of the family's 1533-position model. The record is from RNAcentral.